RNAcentral lists this long non-coding RNA (209 nucleotides) under Hordeum vulgare. Its description in RNAcentral is "long non-coding RNA (HVUL_LNC010159)". The record is from RNAcentral. Lineage: Eukaryota; Viridiplantae; Streptophyta; Magnoliopsida; Poales; Poaceae.
UUUACUUUUACUUUCACUUUUCCAAAAUCAUUGUUUUAUGGAAACACCUAUUUGAGAGAGAGAGAGAGACCAUCAUAACGAUUUGUUAGAAUACUCUAUGUGCUUCACUUGUAUAUUUUGAGCUUAUAGUUGCUCUAGUACUUCACUUAUAUCUUUUUUAGCACGAUGGCACGUAGAUUUUAUAGAAAUAAUAUGCUCUCAUUCUUCAC